GACCAUUUUGAAACAUCAAAGCUUUACAAUCAGAGAGAGUUCAGAGACAGAUAUAUUGACUAUUUCCAGAACAAGAUCAACAGCCCUUUCCUGAAGAACAUUGUGGUGAACCUAGAGGAUCGAUUCCCAGACCUGCCACUCCUCCAGAAGUUGGAGGUGACUUGAACACCCGGAAAUUCCCUGGGGAGGAGCCAACCUGCCAUGGGAAAGAUGGCAUUUAACAUUGACCUGGCUGAGCACUUCCACCUUCCAGUAGACAAGACCCUAAGUGAGUGGAGGCAGGUGUGGAGCACUCUGAGUGACAGCUGACUUGCAGCAGAACAGGCCAUGGAGUGGGUGGACAACAUUUUCAUAACAGAGGGAUGAGAAGUUGACCUUGAGAGAGGACUAGAAC
Long non-coding RNA from Mya arenaria, 394 nucleotides. RefSeq lists it as uncharacterized. Lineage: Eukaryota; Metazoa; Mollusca; Bivalvia; Myida; Myidae. The record is from RefSeq and is a predicted model, not a curated record. The transcript has 3 exons.